CGAACCUGGAUCUGUAGGGCCUUAGACCGCCCCACCACAUUGUUGCCUGGCUGGGAUUGUUUGGUGCUAUUUUGGUGUGGUGAGAGCUGAGUCAUUUUGGCAUAGCUGACAGACAUGGGGACGGUCUCUCAGCUGCCAAGCCAACCAGGCGGUGGCAGCGUUCUCUUCUCACUCCCAGAGUAAGAGGAGAGAGAGAGAGCCUGCUGACCUGCUGGGUUUGGGCUUUUUGCUUGCUUUCUUUAUCUGGUUUUUUAUCCGUUGGUCCCACUGCAUCGAGCAAGCUAAAUGAAGUUCAUCUUAAUUAUCUGAAAGACAACAAAUCCUGUUUUGACUUGGGUUUGUGCACAUUUCAGGGUGAGGUCUGCUCAGGUCUGAUUCUGUAUGCUGUUUAUGGACAACGUUUCUACCCCUGAUAAGGUCUUUGGGAAGUCACAGGGAGCAUAUCUGGGGCUCUGCUGCUGAGCUAUUCAGCCUACUGUACUCCUCUUAUACUUAGACAGAGAUCUGCAGCCAGCCCGGGCUCGCUCGCUCAGCCCACUAACAGGCUGCUAUGGGUAUGGGCUUUGGAUCUACCUGCCAUUGUCAUCAGGGACUCGGUUCUGGAUUACUUCUCUUGUCAUACUGAUCCGCUGAUCUGACCAUUUGCUGUAGAAUGGGACCUUCAAACCACAAGACUUCACUUAAGAGGCUGAGUUAGCUGUGCUGUCUUUGGAUGGACCCUCAUCUUAUUGGCUACCCCUUAUUGGCUACCCGAAUGGGUGUGGUCGUAGUGGAGCAAACUGAUGAGAGCGACCAAUGGUAUGAAGACUUCCAGUGCUGGCUCUCCUCAGGUGAGAAGGGCCCCCAGGCCAGCCCCGUCGCCCCCCAGCCCAGCCCUGUGACCCCCCAGCCCAGCCCUGUGACCCCCCACCACAACCCUGUGACCCCCCACCACAACCCUGUGACCCCCCACCACAGCCCUGUGACCCCCCA
This is a non-coding RNA of Salmo salar (Atlantic salmon), 972 nucleotides long. Lineage: Eukaryota; Metazoa; Chordata; Actinopteri; Salmoniformes; Salmonidae. The record is from RefSeq and is a predicted model, not a curated record.